ACUCAAAGGAAUAGACGGGGGCCCGCACAAGCGGCGGAGCAUGUGGAUUAAUUCGAUGCAACGCGAAGAACCUUACCUGGGUUUGACAUGCACUAGACGCACAUAGAGAUAUGUGUUCCCUUGUGGCUGGUGUGCAGGUGGUGCAUGGCUGUCGUCAGCUCGUGUCGUGAGAUGUUGGGUUAAGUCCCGCAACGAGCGCAACCCUCGUUCCAUGUUGCCAGCGCGUUAUGGCGGGGACUCAUGGGAGACUGCCGGGGUCAACUCGGAGGAAGGUGGGGAUGACGUCAAGUCAUCAUGCCCCUUAUGUCCAGGGCUUCACACAUGCUACAAUGGCCAGUACAGAGGGCUGCGAGACCGCAAGGUGGAGCGAAUCCCUUAAAGCUGGUCUCAGUUCGGAUUGGGGUCUGCAACUCGACCCCAUGAAGUUGGAGUCGCUAGUAAUCGCAGAUCAGCAACGCUGCGGUGAAUACGUUCCCGGGCCUUGCACACACCGCCCGU
Molecule: ribosomal RNA, 498 nt
Filed under: uncultured bacterium
Lineage: Bacteria
Description: partial 16S ribosomal RNA
Rfam family: Bacterial small subunit ribosomal RNA
Source: RNAcentral